AACAAAUGCAGGCUGUCUGGCCUAAGGAAUCCUCUAUUCCCAAGAACCAUCAAAAAGCCAUGCUCAGAGUCAGAGGAUGGCCAUGGUAGGGUGGAGAGACAAACUGGAAUCCUGGGACAGCAGAUGGGCAAUGGGCAGGAGCUGCUUUGCUGGACAAGCAGUGAGGUGAAUCAGGAACACGAUCAUCCGUAUUGCACCAAAGACUUCUAUGUACAAUCUGCUCUUGGACAGUCAGUCAUCAAGAUAUGGUUGUCGUUUCUGAAGAAGGUUGAUAUGCAAUAGCAAUAGCAGAGCAGAAUGAUGAAGUGUUUAUUGACCUUGCCAAUGCUGUACCUGUUCUGUAAAUAAAUAGUGGAAUUCGGUCAUCAUGGCCAUCAAGCUAAUUUCUUUCCAGAGCAUUACAUUCACUAAUUAGGCCUAAAUUUUAUGACGUGACUAAUGAUUUUGGGCACUGCCAUUUUGGGGUAUCUAGCUGUGACACUUUAUAGGGGGCUGAUUUUCAGACAUCAGGUGUUCAGCACUUUCUACAAAUCAGGAAAUUGUAAGGUGUCUCAAGUUUGGUACCCAAAAAUUGAGGCACCCAAAAUCAUUAAACUCUUUUGAAAAUACAGGCUUAAAAUGUAAGAAAUAUCCAUGUAUGGCCCCUUCCUGCUCCGUUUGUAAUCCACUGGAGUUUUGCCAUUGACAAUAAUGGAAGCAGGCCUGACUCCACAGGCACAAAUACAAUGUUAGAAAUCUCCCCUAAUAAAUUAAAUUUUCCUGAUUCUUUGUCCUUCUCUAAAAUGUUUGGAGCAUGUAGAAGAUUUUCAGUAAGGUCCCUGAUAGCCAAAACAAUUGGCAGGAAAAGCCUGAAAGCCGUUACUGCAGCAUUCGAACAUUAGCCCUACAUGCCAGUAUCUCAGAUACUCUUGCUUUUAUUGUAUUUCUGGCUGUGGUAGCUUUUUAUCCUACAUCAUCAAAGUGUGGCUUAAACAACAUUCACUUUGCCAGUGCCAGAUUCAUAGAUUCAUAGACUCUAGAACUGGAAGGGACCUUGAGAGGUCAUCGAGUCCAGUCCCCUGCCCUCAUGGCAGGACCAAAUACUGUCUAGACCAUCCCAGAGAGACAUUUAUCUAACCUACUCUUAAAUAUCUCCAGAGAUGGAGAUUCCACAAUCUCCCUAGGCAAUUUAUUCCAGUGUUUAACCACCCUGACACUUAGGAACUUUUUCCUAAUGUCCAACCUUAAUCUCCCUUGCUGCAGUUUAAGCCCAUUGCUUCUUGUUCUAUCAUUAGAGGCUAAGGUGAACAAGUUUUCUCCCUCCUCCUGAUGACACCCUUUUAGAUACCUGAAAACUGCUAUCAUGUCCCCUCUCAGUCUUCUCUUUUCCAAACUAAACAAACCCAAUUCUUUCAGCCUUCCUUUGUAGGUCAUGUUCUCAAGACCUUUAAUCAUUCUUGUUGCUCUUCUCUGGACCCUCUCCAAUUUCUCCACAUCUUUCUUGAAAUGCGGUACCCAGAACUGGACACAAUACUCCAGUUGAGGCCUAACCAGUGCAGAGUACAGCGGAAGAAUGACUUCUCGUGUCUUGUUUACAACACACCUGUUAAUGCAUCCCAGAAUCACGUUUGCUUUUUUUGCAACAGUAUCACAUUGUUGACUCAUAUUUAGCUUGUGGUCCA
Molecule: long non-coding RNA, 1661 nt
Organism: Gopherus flavomarginatus (Mexican gopher tortoise)
Lineage: Eukaryota; Metazoa; Chordata; Testudines; Testudinidae
Exons: 4
Source: RefSeq, a predicted model, not a curated record